RNAcentral lists this ribosomal RNA (713 nucleotides) under uncultured bacterium. RNAcentral describes it as "bacterial SSU rRNA". It matches the Rfam family "Bacterial small subunit ribosomal RNA", at positions 56 to 716 of the family's 1533-position model. The record is from RNAcentral.
UGCAAGUCGUACGAAGGGGCCCAAUGAAAGGAAUUGAAAUUCAGAGUGCUUGCACAAAGAAUGGAUUUUCUUGGAUUUGGAUUUUCCCCUUAGUGGCAAACGGGUGAGUAACACGUGGGUUACCUACCUCUAAGAUGGGGAUAACAGUUGGAAACGACUGAUAAUACCGAAUGUGCUCUACGGAGUAAAGAAGCCCUUAAAGCUUCGCUUAGAGAUGGGCCUGCGGCGUAUUAGCUAGUUGGUGGGGUAAUGGCCUACCAAGGCGACGAUGCGUAGCCGAACUGAGAGGUUGAUCGGCCACACUGGGACUGAGACACGGCCCAGACUCCUACGGGAGACAGCAGUUAGGAAUAUUCGUCAAUGGAGGAAACUCUGAACGAGCAAUGCCGCGUGAACGAUGACGGCCCUAUGGGUUGUAAAGUUCUGUUGUUUGGAAAGAACGAUAGAUAGAGGAAAUGCUAUCUAUGUGACGGUACCAUUCAAGAAAGCCACGGCUAACUACGUGCCAGCAGCCGCGGUAAUACGUAGGUGGCGAGCGUUAUCCGGAUUUAUUGGGCGUAAAGGGUGCGCAGACGGUUUAUUAAGUCUAAAAUCAAAUCUUGGGGCUCAACCCCAUUCCGUUUUAGAAACUGGUAGACUUGAGUAUGGUAGAGGCAAAUGGAAUUCCUAGUGUAGCGGUGGAAUGCGUAGAUAUUAGGAAGAACACCAGUGGC